AGCCCCUUGGUGUAGUGGUCAAUCAUUAUGCCCUUUGGAGGCAUAGACGGCGGUUCAAAUCCGCCAGGGGCUA
This 73-nucleotide transfer RNA is filed under the name Candidatus Woesearchaeota archaeon. RNAcentral's name for it is "tRNA-Gln". It matches the Rfam family "tRNA". Rfam says of the family: Transfer RNA (tRNA) molecules are approximately 80 nucleotides in length. Their secondary structure includes four short double-helical elements and three loops (D, anti-codon, and T loops). Lineage: Archaea; Nanobdellati; Candidatus Woesearchaeota. The record is from RNAcentral.